UCCCUGGUGGCCUAGUGGUUAACAGUUGAGCAUUGUCACUGCUGUGGCUUAGGUUCAAUCCCUGACCUAGGAA
This 73-nucleotide transfer RNA is filed under the name Sus scrofa (pig). It matches the Rfam family "tRNA". Rfam says of the family: Transfer RNA (tRNA) molecules are approximately 80 nucleotides in length. Lineage: Eukaryota; Metazoa; Chordata; Mammalia; Artiodactyla; Suidae. The record is from Rfam by way of RNAcentral.